Molecule: ribosomal RNA, 692 nt
Filed under: bacterium 39-L049393-122-001-G05
Lineage: Bacteria
Description: bacterial SSU rRNA
Rfam family: Bacterial small subunit ribosomal RNA
Source: RNAcentral
GCAGUCGAACGGUGAUGUCAGAGCUUGCUCUGGCGGAUCAGUGGCGAACGGGUGAGUAACACGUGAGUAACCUGCCCCCGACUCUGGGAUAACUGCUAGAAAUGGUAGCUAAUACCGGAUAUGACGACUGGCCGCAUGGUCUGGUCGUGGAAAGAAUUUCGGUUGGGGAUGGACUCGCGGCCUAUCAGGUUGUUGGUGAGGUAAUGGCUCACCAAGCCUACGACGGGUAGCCGGCCUGAGAGGGUGACCGGCCACACUGGGACUGAGACACGGCCCAGACUCCUACGGGAGGCAGCAGUGGGGAAUAUUGCACAAUGGGCGCAAGCCUGAUGCAGCAACGCCGCGUGAGGGAUGACGGCCUUCGGGUUGUAAACCUCUUUUAGUAGGGAAGAAGCGAAAGUGACGGUACCUGCAGAAAAAGCACCGGCUAACUACGUGCCAGCAGCCGCGGUAAUACGUAGGGUGCAAGCGUUGUCCGGAAUUAUUGGGCGUAAAGAGCUCGUAGGCGGUUUGUCGCGUCUGCUGUGAAAUCCCGAGGCUCAACCUCGGGUCUGCAGUGGGUACGGGCAGACUAGAGUGCGGUAGGGGAGAUUGGAAUUCCUGGUGUAGCGGUGGAAUGCGCAGAUAUCAGGAAGAACACCGAUGGCGAAAGCAGAUCUCUGGGCCCGUACUGACGCUGAAGAGCGAAAGCA